GUGCCAGCCGCCGCGGUAAUACGUAGGGUGCAAGCGUUGAUCGGAAUUACUGGGCGUAAAGCGUGCGCAGGCGGUUUUGUAAGUCUGAUGUGAAAUCCCCGGGCUUAACCUGGGAAUUGCAUUGGAGACUGCAAGGCUAGAAUCUGGCAGAGGGGGGUAGAAUUCCACGUGUAGCAGUGAAAUGCGUAGAGAUGUGGAGGAACACCGAUGGCGAAGGCAGCCCCCUGGGUCAAGAUUGACGCUCAUGCACGAAAGCGUGGGGAGCAAACAGGAUUAGAAACCCCGGUAGUCC
Molecule: ribosomal RNA, 292 nt
Filed under: uncultured bacterium
Lineage: Bacteria
Description: partial 16S ribosomal RNA
Rfam family: Bacterial small subunit ribosomal RNA
Source: RNAcentral